This 402-nucleotide ribosomal RNA is filed under the name uncultured bacterium. RNAcentral describes it as "bacterial SSU rRNA". It matches the Rfam family "Bacterial small subunit ribosomal RNA", at positions 362 to 776 of the family's 1533-position model. The record is from RNAcentral.
UAUUGCACAAUGGGCGAAAGCCUGAUGCAGCAACGCCGCGUGAGGGAUGACGGCCUUCGGGUUGUAAACCUCUUUUAGUAGGGAAGAAGCGAAAGUGACGGUACCUGCAGAAUAAGUACCGGCUAACUACGUACCAGCAGCCGCGGUAAUACGUAGGGUGCAAGCGUUGUCCGGAAUUAUUGGGCGUAAAGGGCUCGUAGGCGGUUUGUCGCUUCUGCUGUGAAAUCCCGAGGCUCAACCUCGGGCUUGCGGUGGGUACGGGCAGACUAGAGUGCGGUAGGGGAGAUUGGAAUUCCUGGUGUAGCGGUGGAAUGCGCAGAUAUCAGGAGGAACACCGAUGGCGAAGGCAGAUCUCUGGGCCGUAACUGACGCUGAGGAGCGAAGGCGUGGGGAGCGAACAGG